This 497-nucleotide ribosomal RNA is filed under the name uncultured bacterium. Its description in RNAcentral is "partial 16S ribosomal RNA". It matches the Rfam family "Bacterial small subunit ribosomal RNA", at positions 28 to 507 of the family's 1533-position model. The record is from RNAcentral.
GAUGAACGCUGGCGGCGUGCCUAAUACAUGCAAGUCGAGCGAACAGAUGAGGAGCUUGCUCCUCUGACGUUAGCGGCGGACGGGUGAGUAACACGUGGAUAACCUACCUAUAAGACUGGGAUAACUUCGGGAAACCGGAGCUAAUACCGGAUAAUAUAUUGAACCGCAUGGUUCAAUAGUGAAAGACGGUUUUGCUGUCACUUAUAGAUGGAUCCGCGCCGCAUUAGCUAGUUGGUAAGGUAACGGCUUACCAAGGCAACGAUGCGUAGCCGACCUGAGAGGGUGAUCGGCCACACUGGAACUGAGACACGGCCCAGACUCCUACGGGAGGCAGCAGUCGGGAAUCUUCCGCAAUGGGCGAAAGCCUGACGGAGCAACACCGCGUGAGUGAUGAAGGUCUUCGGAUCGUAAAGCUCUGUUAUUAGGGAAGAACAAAUGUGUAAGUAACUAUGCACGUCUUGACGGUACCUAAUCAGAAAGCCCCGGCUAACUUCGUG